RNAcentral lists this transfer RNA (87 nucleotides) under Candidatus Endolissoclinum faulkneri L5. It matches the Rfam family "tRNA". From Rfam's summary of the family: Transfer RNA (tRNA) molecules are approximately 80 nucleotides in length. Their secondary structure includes four short double-helical elements and three loops (D, anti-codon, and T loops). Further hydrogen bonds mediate the characteristic L-shaped molecular structure. tRNAs have two regions of fundamental functional importance: the anti-codon, which is responsible for specific mRNA codon recognition, and the 3' end, to which the tRNAs corresponding amino acid is attached (by aminoacyl-tRNA synthetases). tRNAs cope with the degeneracy of the genetic code in two manners: having more than one tRNA (with a specific anti-codon) for a particular amino acid; and 'wobble' base-pairing, i.e. permitting non-standard base-pairing at the 3rd anti-codon position. The record is from Rfam by way of RNAcentral. Lineage: Bacteria; Pseudomonadati; Pseudomonadota; Alphaproteobacteria; Rhodospirillales; Rhodospirillaceae.
GGACGGGUGGCCGAGCGGUUGAAGGCAGCGGUUUUGAAAGCCGCCAUGGGUGCAAUUCCCUCGUGGGUUCGAAUCCCACUCCGUCCG